Molecule: ribosomal RNA, 481 nt
Filed under: uncultured Glomus
Lineage: Eukaryota; Fungi; Glomeromycota; Glomeromycetes; Glomerales; Glomeraceae
Description: SSU rRNA
Rfam family: Eukaryotic small subunit ribosomal RNA
Source: RNAcentral
AGCAGCCGCGGUAAUUCCAGCUCCAAUAGCGUAUAUUAAAGUUGUUGCAGUUAAAAAGCUCGUAGUUGAAUUUCGGGGUCAGUAGGUUGGUCGUGCCACUGGUAUGCACUGGUCUCACUGAUUCCUCCUUCCUGAUGAGCCGUAAUGCCAUUAAUUUGGUGUUGCGGGGAAUCUGGACUGUUACUUUGAAAAAUUAGAGUGUUUAAAGCAAGCUAACGCUUGAAUACAUUAGCAUGGAAUAAUGAAAUAGGACGAUCGAUCCUAUUUUGUUGGUUUCUAGGAUUGACGUAAUGAUUAAUAGGGAUAGUUGGGGGCAUUAGUAUUCAAUUGUCAGAGGUGAAAUUCUUGGAUUUAUUGAAAGACUAACUACUGCGAAAGCAUUUGCCAAGGAUGUUUUCAUUAAUCAAGAACGAAAGUUAGGGGAUCGAAGACGAUCAGAUACCGUCGUAGUCUUAACCAUAAACUAUGCCGACUAGGGAUC